RNAcentral lists this long non-coding RNA (995 nucleotides) under Callithrix jacchus (white-tufted-ear marmoset). RNAcentral describes it as "lncRNA (ENSCJAG00000087074.1)". Lineage: Eukaryota; Metazoa; Chordata; Mammalia; Primates; Cebidae. The record is from RNAcentral.
AUAGGGUUAAAACACACACACACACACACACACACACACAACUGUGCAUGUGUAAGCAUACCCACACACCCAGAAGAAAAUAGAAUCCCAUAUCUAGGGAGAUUACAGAAUGGUGGAAUUAAAAAUAACUUUCCCUGGUUCAUUUGACCAAGCAUGCGAUAAGUUUCAAAUGAAGACUGAUCUGUCACUGUAGGUUAUCUUCCAUUAGUCCCUUCAGUCCCACUAUCUCUGUCUGGUUCUCUAGGUCACAGAAUGUACAAGUAAUAUUAGCAGACUGUAUUGUACCCCUAGCUUCCCACUGAGUUCUUCAAAUGAAGAACUCCUGAGUGACAUCAGAGGAAAGCAGAAAAGUAAGGGUCCAGAUGCUUGCCUAAUUAAUAGAGACAACAUCAACCAGAUAAGGCACCACUCUUUACAAAAAUACUCACCAGAAGACCCAAGGGCUAUAAAAAGAGUGACUACUAGCUAAACAUAGUCACCUCAAUAGACACUGUCUUGCUGUUACUUGCAGUCAGCACCUGGCAUCUGCUGCAGACAUCUCUGCCCAAAUCAAGGACUCUUCCUCGCAAGGUUUUUACAACCAUUGAGAUCAGCUUGAGAUACUCUGCUUGUCCACCUCAGUCUCCUCAGACUGGUUCAUUAAUCCUUUUUUUUUUCCUAUCAUUUUUUUUUCUUUUGAUGUCAGAUGUUACUUUGUUUUAUGAGAAAAUUUUAAAGGAAAAAUUUUGCAUAAUUUGUGAUGUAGAAAUAUUUUACUUAAGCUGUUUAUAUAACUCUGACUUUUUCCUUGGAGACCUGCUGUACAAGCUUUCUAUCCUUCCCUUCGUCUUUGAUCUAAUGCUGUCGGAAAUUCAUUUACAUUUCAGACUCUCUGGUUAAAUACAUGUCCUUUGGGUUAUGAAGAAUUGUGAGAUGACAGAAUUGGACAUAAAUGUAUAAAUUUCAUAAUCUAUUGAAGUAUUGGUUACUUCAUUUCACCCACUUAUUUUAAGUAC